This 423-nucleotide ribosomal RNA is filed under the name uncultured bacterium. RNAcentral describes it as "bacterial SSU rRNA". It matches the Rfam family "Bacterial small subunit ribosomal RNA", at positions 207 to 622 of the family's 1533-position model. The record is from RNAcentral.
AAGACCUUGCGCUUUUGGAGCGGCCGAUGCCUGAUUAGCUUGUUGGUAAGGUAAAAGCUUACCAAGGCUUCGAUCAGUAGCUGGUCUGAGAGGACGACCAGCCACACUGGGACUGAGACACGGCCCAGACUCCUACGGGAGGCAGCAGUGGGGAAUUUUGGACAAUGGGGGCAACCCUGAUCCAGCCAUGCCGCGUGAGUGAAGAAGGCCUUCGGGUUGUAAAGCUCUUUCAGCCGGAACGAAACGGUUACGGUUAAUACCCGUGAUUACUGACGGUACCGGAAGAAGAAGCACCGGCUAACUACGUGCCAGCAGCCGCGGUAAUACGUAGGGUGCGAGCGUUAAUCGGAAUUACUGGGCGUAAAGGGUGCGCAGGCGGUUUUGUAAGUCAGAUGUGAAAGCCCCGGGCUCAACCUGGGAACU